GUUGCUCUACAAUACACUGUGCAUUUCGCGGACAUCACACCGCGCCGGACUAGUGAUACUGAUAAGCGACUACGGCGCUCAACGUAAACAUGUUUGUUUAUACACAUAUCACGCUGUAUCGCGCACGUCUAAUUAAUAUAUUACAAAUAAUAUAAUUGCAUUAGUUGCAAUUGUGGGUCGUUGUUAUCGCGCGCCUUGUGAUUCAGAUAUCGGAUGUUAACAGUGGUGUAACGAUCUAAAAUCGCCCGGCCACAAUGCCUUUUUAGCCACCCCUUUUUUCAUUUUUUAUUUAUAAAUUAUCAUUAAUUAUAUUACGCCGGCACUAAAUUUAAAAUAAAUUUUCCAGAAAUCAAUUAUAAAAAAAUAAAAAUUAUCCAGCAAAGUUUUUUUUACGAACCAUUUUGCGUCCCCCUUGUGAGUAGUGGCCGGGGCACGCUGCCUCCCCUCGCCACGCCACUCGAUGUUACUAAUUAUAUUUACAAAGUUAUGUGAAAGAUCAAAGUGCAGCUGCUUGCCGUAGAUAUUUUCCUCAUGUGGUACUAUCUGUAAGGUAAGGAUUCUGUCCAGCGGUCGCAAGUUCUAGACGACUUACAGGUCGCAGCUCUAGAAGCACUGGCCACCUCCGCCCAACGUCAUCUUGUACCGCCAUUGUACCGGUACCAGCCCGGCUCACUAUACUAAUUGAAUAUUUAAUUUGGAAUUUGGUAGUUGUUUUAAAUAAGCAAUGGUUAAUGCUAAUAUCGAAAACAAAGUUUUAGAAAGAGUUCAGUUGGAUAUUUCUGAACGCGUGGAGUUGGAGAGAUGAACAAGUUACGUUGUGUCCCGUCAAGUCUUUCGCAUAAUCUAAGUUGAUACUCGAGAUUUGUAUUCCAAAUAUAUUUAUAAUCAUUAGGCAUCGUGUUUUAAACAAAAAUCUCUGUCAUUUGGUUGAAAAACCUUAAUUCACUCCGAGGUGCAUAUCGCUCGUCCGUGAAUGUUUGUUAUUGAUUCCUGUAUCCCUCUGCUACUCUGCUACUCGUACGUACCAACGUCACAAGUACAUAUUUGAACGAUCCGUUAAGUAUUCGCCAAUCGUUUACAGUACGCGCCCGAGCUAAACCGUUGCCAUUGAAUUUUACUUUAAAGUACACGGCACGGCGUCUACAGAAGUUUAUUUAUUCCUAUUUAUCAGGAAAAACCCUUAGCAGCAAGCAGCGGCUAACGGUUGCUAAGUUACAGAAACAAUAACGAGGUGCCUUAACCCAACAUACAAUGUACAUGAACAAAAACGUAUAAUACCCAGUCUUGCCAUAAAUACUGAGACAAAGGAAAAAAAAAAUUCUAUUGCAAAUAACCUUUAUUACUUUUACAGUGUGUUAGUUUAAUACAUAAAUAUAAAACAAUUUAAAGUAUAAAAAGCUUAUUCGAAGUCCAUUGGCUGCAAUACAGUCCUUUAAACGUUGAGGCCAGUUAUCAAAAGAAGCACGCACUCUUUCCAUGGGAAAAACUUUCACUGCCAAUCGUACGGAUUGUUUUAGGGACUCCAAAUUAUCAUGAAGUUUAGAGCAAGCCGUACUCUCUAAAACUGACCAUAAAUCAUAAUCCAGCGGAUUAAGAUCGGGACUAGACGACGGCCAGUCUUCAGCUCUGAUGAAGUCCGAAACGUUCGUUUUCAACCAAGACUGCGUAGACCGAGCUUUAUGACCUGGCGCCGAGUCUUGCUGGAAGGAUCAUUCUUGAUUAUUGAACAUGGUGUUGUUAAGGGGCUUCACUACCUUCUCAAGAAUGGUAUCUUGAUACACUUGUUCCGAUGUUUUGAUACCUUUUUCACAAAAGUAUGGCUCAGUCACUCCUUCAUAGCUAAUACCCCACCAAACCAUCACCGAAGUCGGAUAGUGCCCACGUUGGACUCUGUCGACUAAUUGGGAAGCUUCCUUAGAGCUUUGAGCAUAAAUACGGUCAUUUUGUUUGUUAAAAUGUUGCUCAAUUGUAAAAAUUUUCUCAUCCGUAAUCAAAAAUUUUCUAUGACCUCCCUUUGCGUACCGCUUCAGUAGUUGUUUCGAUUUUACCAUCCUAUUCUCUUUUAAAUUAUCAGUUAAGAAAUGACCAGUACGUCUCUUAUAGGCUGCAAGUCCUAAGUCAUCUUUUAAAAUACGCGACAUGGUUCUAGGUGCUAUUUUCAUCUCCCGAGAUAAAAUCUUUUGCUUUCGGACAGGAUAUCUUCGAAUUCUUCCUCUUGCUGCUUUGACCACCUUUUCCGUACGAACACUACGUAGACGGCCAGAUAUUUUUCUGUCACAAACAGAGGAGAUCUCAUUGCACCUAUUAAUAGCCUGGUACACAAACAUUUUACUAAUACCAAGCGUAUGGAGAGUUUUAAAAAUUGCAUUUGGCUCCAUACCUACUUUGUGUAAUGCAAUCACAGCGAUUCGGUUCUCUUUAUCACCCCACUCCAUUUUAAUAUCGCAAAAUAUUGUACAAUGUAUUGGCGCCAAAAUGAGAAAAUUCAAUGAGCAAUCAUAUCAAAAUGACAGAUUCCAAAUUCAAAUGUAAUAUUAUGUUUACUUUUAAUUGUAACAGUAUUUAUGACCGGACUAUGUAGUUUUAUAAGAUUUAUAAAAAAACGACUAAAAAGGCCCCAUUAGUGAGGGAAAACUGUUUGAACCCAAAUCUACUAAUGAAACCGCAUUGGGCUCUGUUGAGAUACGGAUUAAAAUUCUCAACUGCAACAGGAACAAUGGUUACCGCACCCUUCGAGCCGAAAGAGUUAGUAGUUCGCGUCAGAAAUACGCAGGAUGGUACCUACAGCAAGCACUCGCGGACUCAGCGCCCCCAACUACCUACUGGCUCUGGACGCGGCGACGGUGACUCACUGCAAGGAUGCCUUCAUGUUGCGUAUUCAUCUCAAAUAACUGGAAGCGUUAUUAUGCAGCUCGUGUGAAAUCUCAGAGACCCUGAGACGUCUCAGACCUACAAAUGUCAUAUGACUAAGUACGUUUUCAUUCCAACUCAAAGGAAAGUUUACGUUUUAAGAUUUUCUUGAAUACACCUACAUUAAAAAUAUUAUAUAGGUUGAAAUGUUACAUCACGGACAAGGCCACAAUCUUACGAGAACAGGCUUACAUCUCACCUGUCGAGAAAUAAGCGUCGCCGAAACAUUCAUUGUGCCAUAAGAAAAUAAAAAAGACCUUUUUGUGUAUACUGAUGUCUUUUUGUAUUUAUUCAUUUGUAAUUAUGUAAUGUAAAUAUAAUAUUGACUGCAAUAUUGUUCACCGAAACUGCGACAUAAUUAGAUUCACACAAAAAACUUAAAUUUUAAUAAAAUCAAUGAGAUGUCGCUUUUUUUUGUUGCCUAAGGUGGGCUCGCGGUCUACCUAGAGGCAUCACAACGUGAAUCCCACCUCAUCCCACCACGGGACACAAGUCUCCAAAAGUGCAGACCGCAGCCUUCAAAUGCAUGAACGCAAUUAUGAGACUUCUCGUAUGAGAUGGGCGGUGGGAAGAUCUCGUAAUCGUUCUCAUAUAAUGCCCGCAGUGCGGUGACACCAUUUUUGUUAUUUCACCACUCCUACCAGCAGACAUACUCGUAAUAGUUUUUGAAAUGAAAAUGAAACUGAGUGAAACAGCGCCCCUAGCGGCAAAUUUAGGCAAACGUUCCAACUCCAUACAAAUUUGAGUUAGGUAACUUUUGCGCUAUCGAGAACGUUUUUUUUAUGGCAUAGAUGGGUGGAAGAGCUCACAGCCCACCUGGUGUUAAGUGGUUACUGUGGCCCAUAGACAUCUACGACGUAAAUGCACAACCCAUCUUGAGAUAUAAGUUCUAAGAUCUGAAGUAUAGUUACAACGCAUUAUUGCUUCACGGCAGAAAUAGGCAGGGAGAUGCUACCCACCCGCGCGGACUCACAAGAGGUCCUACCACCAGUAAUUAUGCAAAUUAUAAUUUUGCGGGUUUGAUUUUUAUUAUACGAUGUUAUUUCUUCACCGUGGAAGUCAAUCGUUAAUAUAUAUGUUGAGUACGUAUUUCAUUAGAAAAAUUGGUACCCGCCUGCUGAAUUCGAACACCGGUGCAUCGCUCAAUACGAAAGCACCGGACGUCUUAUCCUUUUGGCCACGACGACGAUAAAAAACUCACAUUAAGCAUGCUGGGUUAUUUAAAUAUUUUACGCCGUGAGUAACGUACAGUCGAUUUACGCUAUGGCUUAGUUAUGCGAUUUGUUUUACGAAAUUCGCACUAAGCACACGCAACCCAGAACCCAGGACCAAUUGAGAACUUUAUAUCACAACGUUUGUUUACUUGUCUAGCGUGAUGCGGCCGCACUACACGAGUAACUAAAUACUUUGAAUAUCGCAUAUUCAUUGACAAUGUUAUUAUUAUUGCUUAUUUAUCAAGCUGUGUAGUGUAUCACAUUACAACUGAGUACAUUGUUCACCCUCUGAUACGAACUUAAAAUUGUUUUUGAUGUAAACGCCAUCUAUUUGCGAUGAACCUAAACAAUAAAUUAAAUCCGUCAUUGUAUUGGGCACUUCAGAGGCAUCGUUUAUAAUUUGUUGAAUAUAAGUAUAUUAGUAACAAUGGAAUGAAACAAAGCCUGCGAUGAAGGACCUUAUUGUGUCGCAUUACAGCGCUUCUCAAUCAAUUUCUAUGUGACAUGAUUGGCUUUGGUUAUCUAAUUAAACCGCUUUGACGACUCUAAUUUCCUUUACUCUGUGACUUUUAAUUAUAAUCUAGUAUUUAGACAACUGUGUUGCGUUCUAUAAAAUGAGAUCCGGGUUCGAUAGCUGGUCGGGUUGAACUCUGGGGCUGCAUCUGCUUGUGCUGUCUUGCAACAUAACGUUACCGAUUGCACAGCACCUGGCUUAAAGCUGUGAACCUCCUAGUACUGUAGCAUUUGAAUUUAGACAGUGUACUUUAAUUUUAGUAUCUUAAUAAAUUGAUUUCUUAUAAUAUAAUAUUCUGACAGUGCAUAAUAAUAUAAUAUCCUGACAAUCUUAGCGCAAAUUUAAACUCAUCAACCGCAUAACCUAGACUGGUUUCCACGUUCGUUGCUAGAUGGCGGUAUUUACCAAAGAUUUAAUAUUUCGAAAAUGUUAAACUUCUUUCCGUACCCGUUCACCGGCAUUUAUUAUCAAAAGUACUUUUAAUUAUGAAACUAUUGCAUUGUAAUUAAGUCGGUACGAUUGAUACAGACACAUGAUUUGUAUUUAUGCUAACAGAUGUCGUUGUCAUUGAACAGCAACUAACGACACGGAAUAAAAUAUAUUCAAACAAGUUGUGUAGUUCCGCCGAGAGUGAAAGUGGCUGCUUCACUAGUUCAGUUUCAUUUAGUUCGUUAUAUUUCAUUUAAUUGUUAAAAUUACAAUACAAUGCAAUACAAUACGUAACAAACAGGCUGCGUCAAUAUAAAGUUCCAAAUUGAAGUAAAUCGACAACCUAAAUUUUAAGUCAAUUAAACUUCGUAAAUACGAACUGAUGGUGAUCCCCACAUUUGGCGUCUCCGAGACUUCAUUAUAGUACAUCCAAGCAAAAACGUUUCUUUUUCUGGAUUAUUAAAAUGCAAUAUGUAUUCGUACUAAAAUAAGGACACCUGACAAAAUGAAAUGGUAACUUUUUAAAUACGGAAAUUGUACACAAUGACGUAAGUCCAACUGCGUAAUUUUUCUCUUCGUCUCAUUCGCUGCAAAUUAAAAGGAGCAAUGAUCACCAGCAUUCAUCGGUGCUCGUUCUUCAGAAUGUUUCUCUUACACGCGUCGUCUACUAUAUUAGGCAAAGGUAUGCGUUAGUUUACGAAAAGGUACACUAAUUUGUAUGUGCAUAUUUCACAGCGGUCGUGUCAUCCAACCUUUGUCUGAAGUCGGCAAAUGAUCCAGCGGGUAACUAACUGUUCAAAAACCAUGAUGAUGUGAGAGUUGAGGGAGAGAUUGGGUGCUAGAUGCGUAUUGUGAUCUCGGGCGACUAACAAAUAUGACCUUUUUCAAACGAGGCUUGUGGAGAGUACCUAACGAUAGGUAGUGGCUUGACUCUGUCCCUAGCAUUGCUGAUGUCCACGACCGACGGUAACCACUCACCAUCAGAUGGGCCGCUAGUUCGUCUUGAAUUGAACGGUACUGAAGUGUAACCGUAUGAGUAUUUAGCUGAGCCAACUCGAUCGUAUCGGAAACUACCCAAAAGACUCGUAAUAUAAUAUGCAUAUUUGCGAAUAAUUUGCAUUAACGUUGGUCAAUAUAGCGAUCCCGAGCGCAGGGAGCGAGUGCCGAACUCGGAGAAAGUAGUUUUUGCACAUUUCGACGGAGCGGCCGCCACUCUCCAACUCGCGCCCUGACAUUAACGAUUUCUGCACCUCUAGACUUCUUUAAAACUUGCCGAACUCUUUCGGGGUAAGCUACACACAAAAAGUGAGCCACUAUAAAAAUAUAUUAUUAUACUAGCUGACCCGGCAGACUUCGUAGUGCCUCAAUCGAUAAAUAAAAUACCUAAACUUUUGUAUAAAAUAAACUUAAAACAAACAAAAGAAUCCUUCGUACGGGGGACACAAUGCAAAAGUGACGUUUAUUCAGCUUUUUUUAUUUUUAUUGCUUUGAUGGGUGGACGAGCUUUACCUGGUGUUAAGUGGUUACUGGAGCACAUAGACAUCUACAACGUAAAUGCGCCACCCACCUUGAGAUAUAAGUUCUAAGGUCUCAAGUAUAGUUACAACGGCUGCCCCACCCUUCAAAUCGAAACGCAUUACUGCUUCACGGCAGAAAUAGGCAGGGUGGUGGUACCCACCCGCGCGGACUCACAAGAGGUCCUACCACCAGUAAAAAAGCUGUCAAAUUGUUCGAAAAAGAAUUGAAUGACAAUGAAAAUAAUUGAACCACGCAUAGAGCACCCGCGUUCUGUAUUACGUCAGAGUGAAUAUAUCACUCUAAGCACACGACACAAUAGCUUAAUGGACGCGCCAUCAUAGACAUAUAUUUUUUAUUGAUAGCUUAUUGUAAGUAUACCUAUAGAAUUAUAGUGGCAGAAAAAAAAACCCUUAUUAGUUUCUGAAAAUAUGCAACAAAUACGGACAGGACCUUUUUCUGGAAGCGUUUAAAAACCUGAGCACAGCACGCGAAUAUAGUAUUCGUGUAAUAACAUGUUGUCGGCUGCGCUUCCACAGAACAAGAUUUGUAAUUCUAAACGUAUUAGAAUUAUACAUACGAACUUUAUGAAUUUUGAACGUUCUCUCGCGACACGUGACUCAGAAUUUGAAUGUUAAGUCAACAUGCGGGCCAGGUGGUGGCGCCGCGAGUCUAACUGCAGUGUUGACCGCGGGAGCCCCACACUCUGACCGUAGUCUUACUCCUAGCGGAGAUCGGACAUCGGCUGAGAGAGUGCAAGAGAGAGUCGCUUGGUGCGGUAGGGCCCUAAACGAUCGGUGACGUCAUGUGACCAUGGCUUCCUGCAGAUGUUGCUGAGAACAUGUAGUGCGAUAACGUCGUUGAGUCGUUUCCAAGGCACCGUGGGCCCGCGAUGCUCGCCUCGUAUUGCGCAUGUCGCGGGCCGCCGUGGGAGCACUCUCUUCUAGAUCUCUGAAUGGGUUGUUGUGCAAAAACCGUUAUGGUAGGAGCGCGCGAGCGAGCGACUCAUUUUCGGCGUCGAUAUUACUCAGUAACAAUUUAGAAAGUUGCGUCGGCAGGUCUGCGGUCCUGUCUCUCGGCAGCGGCCACACUAUCUAUUGUUUUGUUUUAUUAAUAUUCAGCUACUUUGUCGAUUGACCAGUUUCUUUAAUUCAACAAUCGCUACACGAGCCCAUGGGCAGCAUGUUGUUAGAGACCGAAGUCGCGUUGAAGUGGCUGCUAAUUAAUACGCUUUUAUUAACUUCAGACGUAUGUAUGUAUGUUAGUAACGGAAUCUUUGAACAUGAUUUUGAUCCCCUUCAAAACGUCGUAUUAACUAAAAAAAUUUGUAUCGUUAUUAAGGACCGAUGACAAUUCAAGAUCUAAAAAAAAUUAAAAAAAAUAUUGAAAAAAUAGACUACCUAUAAUUAACUACCUAUUAUUUAUUUUGUAUAUCAGAUUCUACUCAUAAUACUUUAUUAUAUAUUAUUAUUUAAUGUGAGUUUGUUUGUUCCGUUUUCGUCUUAAUUACUUAACCGUUCACAACGCAAUGUUGUGCACACGUUGUAAGCCAUACACAAAACGGCACACAGUAACUUGCAUCCAGAGCUGUUCCCGGGAUUUAUGUAUUUCUAUGCCAACAUCAAUGAAGCUGCUUAUAAAAGCCAGUAGUAGGUACCUGUCACAAAUAUUUAAUUUACGUGAGUUAGAUUCGCGGCCGAUGUAGAUCCCCCGGUGCUCUUCCACCAAUAGUGCGUACUGACAGACCAAGAAUAGGUUUGGAGCCGCGACCUCAGUUGAGCCGUGCUCUCGCGAGUUUCGGCAGAGGUGAAAGUAUUCGUGUUAUUAAGAAAGGAAAAGUUGUUCAUUUUUUGUGGUAAGAGGCGGUCCACGCCGAUACCCCCCACCCCCACCUCCCCCCCGUCCCGCCGUCCCGCCGUCCUCCAUGGAAAGUGAAACUUGCUAAUUUUGACUAUUUGACAGCAACGUGCUCGCUUCGUAUCCGAGCCCGAUGUCUGCUCGACUGUUGGAAAUACUCGUAGAAGCCAUGGAAAAUCUGAUUCGAAGAUGCCGUACAAAGUAAAUGUUUGUUUGUGGAAGGUGAUUGAUUACCCAACCUACUAACUGUACGGGGAACGUGGAGAUCCGACUCUGUAAAUGGAAUACUGCUAUUACCUGCUUAUCAAAAAUAGCCUUCUGUCACGACGAACAAUUAAUACGAGAAAGUGAGCAGUUGAAUUGAUGAAUACACCGGGUGUGCGAUCACAAUUAUAUUGUUUCGUUUUUAUACUAGGUACGGGCCGGACAAACGUUUUGAAAUAAAUAUAUGAUUAAGAACUUCAAAUUAGCCAUGGAGUUCGCUGAAACCAACAUUCAAGGAACUACGGAGAACACGAACGGAUUGGUUCAAGUAUUGUGGGUGUGGGUUCAACAGGCGCGAGCCAACAGACAAAUGUGAUAUGUUUCUAUACAUCGAUAAGAUACUUUAUAUUAUGUAAAAAAUAGUAAGAAAAAAUACACAAACUAUUAAAAUAGUAAAUUGAUUUUUUAUUUUUUAUUGCUUAGAUGGGUGUACGAGCUCACAGCACACCUGGUGUUAAGUGGUUACUGGAGCCCAUAGACAUUUACAACGCAAAUGCGCCACCCACCUUGAGAUAUAAGUUCUAAGGUCUCAAGUUACUUACAACGGCUGCCCCACCCUUCAAACCGAAACGCAUUACUGCUUCACGGCAGAAAUACGCGGGGCGGUGGUACCUAGGUACCCGUGCGGACUCACAUGAGGUCCUGCCGCCAGUAAUUACGCAAAUUAUAAUUUUGCGGGUUUGAUUUUUAUUACACGAUGUUAUUUCUUCACCGUGAAGCCGGUCGUGAACGAUAUUUUAUAUACGAUAAUUUUAGUAACAUGAAAGUGCAUUCUUAAUUUGUUAUUAAUGUCUGCUGCGCUGCCCCCAUUAUUCGUUUGCAAAUACAUUAUACAUGAAACUAUGCAACGCAUCCUCUACAGCGCGAUUCAGAAAACUAAUAACGGCAUCCAUUAGUUCGGCAAACACAAACGCGCGUAGUCUAAUAGCUAAAGCAAAAAAACUGAUCAAAAUGUGUCGAGUAGUUCGGCGCAGCGUCACGCGGCGUCACGCGGCGUCACGCGGCCGACUGCUCCGCUGUAGUAGAACUCUAUAGGUACAAACUAUACCGAUACCGAUGAAACGGAAAUAAGCUACCAAACAACUUUUCGGAUUAUCUUAAAAUACAAACAAUUUUUUCCAAUAGUUAUUCAUUGCGAUCACAAACAAAUUCGAUGAUGAAGGAACAACAUCUAGUAAUAAAAUCAAUUUUAUAAGUGUGCGUAACUAUAGGGGGCAGAGGAGGGGGUGUGGGCUUACUUCUGUCCCAAAACAGUAAAGCAUAUUUGUUUUACAAUAAAGACGCGCCGCGCCUGUCGGUAUACAAACGGGAUUGAGAUUUCGGCCGCCCGUCUGCAGCCGGGCAGCGGUUAUAAGUUGUGAUGAGCGCUCUUGAGUCUUUACACAAAGAAAGCGAGUCGUGUGCCCGCUUCCUCGUCAUCCGUCUUCACCACUGUAACUGUUCUGUUUAUAUUUGAGUGUAGUAAUUAGUAGAUAAUACCGUAAAAGAGCAUUUCGUGAAAUUGCCAGAAUCAUCUGACGUAUUGUCGAUUAAGCAUCGCGUCGGCCUGUUUUCGAAGAAGAAUGAAAGUAGUAAUGUUCGGUGCGCGCAACCCGCAGGCCAGGACCGCUUUCCAAACUGGCGACGGUUCCUUUAUAGCCAACGUUUUUAAAUUCCUACAUAUUUUUUUAUUAUAAUGAAGCUCAGCACUUUGCAUUAAAGUGGGAUAAUUGACACGCAUCCGUAUAUGUACUUUUGAUUUCUCGUUCAAUUUUCAUUUUAUUAUAUAUACUACAUACAUACAUACAUACAUAUUAUUAUGUAUAUACGAGUACUACUCGUACCUACUAAGUACUAUCUUAUACAGAUGACAUUCGAUAAACAUUAUUAGCGAAUCAAACGGAGGUCAAUCACUACAUCAACUCGAAAGAUUCUAUUUAUGUUCCUAAGAUGAAAUUCUAAAAUAUAUGUAUGACUUUGUCGUACCUGGGUAUGUUUAUUAAUUGACAAACUAUUAUUUUUUUGAAAUUGUCUAUUUAUCAAAGUAUUUGAUUUUACUAAAAACAUUCGAUUAGUGGAAGUGAAGUAACCAAAUAAGCAUUAUCGGCUGAGAACCGUGCUGGUGCGGAAGGAAGGCGGGGUGGGCGGUGGGGAGCUGCAGCGAUGGGGCUUCACUUCCAAGUGUAUGUUCUCAUGUUAUUCACACGUCAUUAUCUUAAUGAAUGACACUAAAUGUUUCCUCUAACGCGUUGUAGAUGCGUGUCGGUGGCAGCGCGGCCGCGAUAACCUCACUUAUCAUCUCGCGACCCACAAAAUUCAUAUAUUCCGUUAUUAUUAAUCGUGUUAAUAAUAAUUGAAUUAAAACGACGCUUGUAAGGUCGUGUUGCGCAGACAUCACUUCCCGAGAGUAUAGUUUUCAUAGAAAGUCUCCUUGUGUGUGCAGUCUUCAGCCUCGUGUUCAAUAACACGUAGGACGGAAUCGUUAAUGGAUACCCGACCGGCUGACCUGGUCGGAGUUACAGGGAACAGCUUCACAAAGUUAACUUGCUGAGCAGCACGGCACAUCUUAUAUUGAGUAAGGUCUGCGGGCGGGCGUGAACAUAGUAUUUUUCAAUUUCAAAUCAGUGACACGGCUGUAAUACCAGUGCCUCACGAACAUCCUUUUUUUAUUUUGGACGGGGGCCGAACCUUCUACGAGGUCCUAGCGCGUAGAAGGCGUACGAAUAGUAGAUGAUCCGCAGAUAUUGGGAGCGGAUCACGGACCCAGGGAUCUGUAGGCAAAAAGGGAAAAAAUAAUAAAGUAGAAGAAAUAAAAUCACAAAUUAUAUAAUAUACUAACUAGCUGACCCGGCAGACUUCGUAGUGCCUCAAUCGAUAAAUAAAAGACCUAAAUUUUUGUAUAAAAUAAACUUAAAACAAACAAAAUUGUUAUUUUUAUUUAAUUCCGUGCAUUUUCAUAUUUAUCUACCUUUUAAACCUUCUCUGGACUUCCACAAAUAAUUCAAGACCAAAAUUAGCCAAAUCGGUCAGCCGUUCUCGAGUUUUAGCGAGACUAACGAACAGCAAUUCAUUUAUAUAUAUAUAUAUAGAUUGUACAAUGUACCUAAUAAAAAAUGUUGGUGUUCGAAAAACUUAUAAUUCGGCCUUUUCCAAGAGUCGAUUGAGCCAAAGUGCAAAUCUAAAUCACACGCUGGGUCACCCAUGCGCUGAGGUGUGUAUAAUCGGCGGUCACGUGGACCCGAGGCACGUUUCUUUAUGAAUUUUGAACGUUCUCUCGCGACACGUGACUCAGAAUUUGAAUGUUAAGUCAACAUGCGGGCCAGGUGGUGGCGCCGCGAGUCUAACUGCAGUGUUGACCGCGGGAGCCCCACACUCUGACCGUAGUCUUACUCCUAGCGGAGAUCGGACAUCGGCUGAGAGAGUGCAAGAGAGAGUCGCUUGGUGCGGUAGGGCCCUAAACGAUCGGUGACGUCAUGUGACCAUGGCUUCCUGCAGAUGUUGCUGAGAACAUGUAGUGCGAUAACGUCGUUGAGUCGUUUCCAAGGCACCGUGGGCCCGCGAUGCUCGCCUCGUAUUGCGCAUGUCGCGGGCCGCCGUGGGAGCACUCUCUUCUAGAUCUCUGAAUGGGUUGUUGUGCAAAAACCGUUAUGGUAGGAGCGCGCGAGCGAGCGACUCAUUUUCGGCGUCGAUAUUACUCAGUAACAAUUUAGAAAGUUGCGUCGGCAGGUCUGCGGUCCUGUCUCUCGGCAGCGGCCACACUAUCUAUUGUUUUGUUUUAUUAAUAUUCAGCUACUUUGUCGAUUGACCAGUUUCUUUAAUUCAACAAUCGCUACACGAGCCCAUGGGCAGCAUGUUGUUAGAGACCGAAGUCGCGUUGAAGUGGCUGCUAAUUAAUACGCUUUUAUUAACUUCAGACGUAUGUAUGUAUGUUAGUAACGGAAUCUUUGAACAUGAUUUUGAUCCCCUUCAAAACGUCGUAUUAACUAAAAAAAUUUGUAUCGUUAUUAAGGACCGAUGACAAUUCAAGAUCUAAAAAAAAUUAAAAAAAAUAUUGAAAAAAUAGACUACCUAUAAUUAACUACCUAUUAUUUAUUUUGUAUAUCAGAUUCUACUCAUAAUACUUUAUUAUAUAUUAUUAUUUAAUGUGAGUUUGUUUGUUCCGUUUUCGUCUUAAUUACUUAACCGUUCACAACGCAAUGUUGUGCACACGUUGUAAGCCAUACACAAAACGGCACACAGUAACUUGCAUCCAGAGCUGUUCCCGGGAUUUAUGUAUUUCUAUGCCAACAUCAAUGAAGCUGCUUAUAAAAGCCAGUAGUAGGUACCUGUCACAAAUAUUUAAUUUACGUGAGUUAGAUUCGCGGCCGAUGUAGAUCCCCCGGUGCUCUUCCACCAAUAGUGCGUACUGACAGACCAAGAAUAGGUUUGGAGCCGCGACCUCAGUUGAGCCGUGCUCUCGCGAGUUUCGGCAGAGGUGAAAGUAUUCGUGUUAUUAAGAAAGGAAAAGUUGUUCAUUUUUUGUGGUAAGAGGCGGUCCACGCCGAUACCCCCCACCCCCACCUCCCCCCCGUCCCGCCGUCCCGCCGUCCUCCAUGGAAAGUGAAACUUGCUAAUUUUGACUAUUUGACAGCAACGUGCUCGCUUCGUAUCCGAGCCCGAUGUCUGCUCGACUGUUGGAAAUACUCGUAGAAGCCAUGGAAAAUCUGAUUCGAAGAUGCCGUACAAAGUAAAUGUUUGUUUGUGGAAGGUGAUUGAUUACCCAACCUACUAACUGUACGGGGAACGUGGAGAUCCGACUCUGUAAAUGGAAUACUGCUAUUACCUGCUUAUCAAAAAUAGCCUUCUGUCACGACGAACAAUUAAUACGAGAAAGUACGGGCCGGACAAACGUUUUGAAAUAAAUAUAUGAUUAAGAACUUCAAAUUAGCCAUGGAGUUCGCUGAAACCAACAUUCAAGGAACUACGGAGAACACGAACGGAUUGGUUCAAGUAUUGUGGGUGUGGGUUCAACAGGCGCGAGCCAACAGACAAAUGUGAUAUGUUUCUAUACAUCGAUAAGAUACUUUAUAUUAUGUAAAAAAUAGUAAGAAAAAAUACACAAACUAUUAAAAUAGUAAAUUGAUUUUUUAUUUUUUAUUGCUUAGAUGGGUGUACGAGCUCACAGCACACCUGGUGUUAAGUGGUUACUGGAGCCCAUAGACAUUUACAACGCAAAUGCGCCACCCACCUUGAGAUAUAAGUUCUAAGGUCUCAAGUUACUUACAACGGCUGCCCCACCCUUCAAACCGAAACGCAUUACUGCUUCACGGCAGAAAUACGCGGGGCGGUGGUACCUAGGUACCCGUGCGGACUCACAUGAGGUCCUGCCGCCAGUAAUUACGCAAAUUAUAAUUUUGCGGGUUUGAUUUUUAUUACACGAUGUUAUUUCUUCACCGUGAAGCCGGUCGUGAACGAUAUUUUAUAUACGAUAAUUUUAGUAACAUGAAAGUGCAUUCUUAAUUUGUUAUUAAUGUCUGCUGCGCUGCCCCCAUUAUUCGUUUGCAAAUACAUUAUACAUGAAACUAUGCAACGCAUCCUCUACAGCGCGAUUCAGAAAACUAAUAACGGCAUCCAUUAGUUCGGCAAACACAAACGCGCGUAGUCUAAUAGCUAAAGCAAAAAAACUGAUCAAAAUGUGUCGAGUAGUUCGGCGCAGCGUCACGCGGCGUCACGCGGCGUCACGCGGCCGACUGCUCCGCUGUAGUAGAACUCUAUAGGUACAAACUAUACCGAUACCGAUGAAACGGAAAUAAGCUACCAAACAACUUUUCGGAUUAUCUUAAAAUACAAACAAUUUUUUCCAAUAGUUAUUCAUUGCGAUCACAAACAAAUUCGAUGAUGAAGGAACAACAUCUAGUAAUAAAAUCAAUUUUAUAAGUGUGCGUAACUAUAGGGGGCAGAGGAGGGGGUGUGGGCUUACUUCUGUCCCAAAACAGUAAAGCAUAUUUGUUUUACAAUAAAGACGCGCCGCGCCUGUCGGUAUACAAACGGGAUUGAGAUUUCGGCCGCCCGUCUGCAGCCGGGCAGCGGUUAUAAGUUGUGAUGAGCGCUCUUGAGUCUUUACACAAAGAAAGCGAGUCGUGUGCCCGCUUCCUCGUCAUCCGUCUUCACCACUGUAACUGUUCUGUUUAUAUUUGAGUGUAGUAAUUAGUAGAUAAUACCGUAAAAGAGCAUUUCGUGAAAUUGCCAGAAUCAUCUGACGUAUUGUCGAUUAAGCAUCGCGUCGGCCUGUUUUCGAAGAAGAAUGAAAGUAGUAAUGUUCGGUGCGCGCAACCCGCAGGCCAGGACCGCUUUCCAAACUGGCGACGGUUCCUUUAUAGCCAACGUUUUUAAAUUCCUACAUAUUUUUUUAUUAUAAUGAAGCUCAGCACUUUGCAUUAAAGUGGGAUAAUUGACACGCAUCCGUAUAUGUACUUUUGAUUUCUCGUUCAAUUUUCAUUUUAUUAUAUAUACUACAUACAUACAUACAUACAUAUUAUUAUGUAUAUACGAGUACUACUCGUACCUACUAAGUACUAUCUUAUACAGAUGACAUUCGAUAAACAUUAUUAGCGAAUCAAACGGAGGUCAAUCACUACAUCAACUCGAAAGAUUCUAUUUAUGUUCCUAAGAUGAAAUUCUAAAAUAUAUGUAUGACUUUGUCGUACCUGGGUAUGUUUAUUAAUUGACAAACUAUUAUUUUUUUGAAAUUGUCUAUUUAUCAAAGUAUUUGAUUUUACUAAAAACAUUCGAUUAGUGGAAGUGAAGUAACCAAAUAAGCAUUAUCGGCUGAGAACCGUGCUGGUGCGGAAGGAAGGCGGGGUGGGCGGUGGGGAGCUGCAGCGAUGGGGCUUCACUUCCAAGUGUAUGUUCUCAUGUUAUUCACACGUCAUUAUCUUAAUGAAUGACACUAAAUGUUUCCUCUAACGCGUUGUAGAUGCGUGUCGGUGGCAGCGCGGCCGCGAUAACCUCACUUAUCAUCUCGCGACCCACAAAAUUCAUAUAUUCCGUUAUUAUUAAUCGUGUUAAUAAUAAUUGAAUUAAAACGACGCUUGUAAGGUCGUGUUGCGCAGACAUCACUUCCCGAGAGUAUAGUUUUCAUAGAAAGUCUCCUUGUGUGUGCAGUCUUCAGCCUCGUGUUCAAUAACACGUAGGACGGAAUCGUUAAUGGAUACCCGACCGGCUGACCUGGUCGGAGUUACAGGGAACAGCUUCACAAAGUUAACUUGCUGAGCAGCACGGCACAUCUUAUAUUGAGUAAGGUCUGCGGGCGGGCGUGAACAUAGUAUUUUUCAAUUUCAAAUCAGUGACACGGCUGUAAUACCAGUGCCUCACGAACAUCCUUUUUUUAUUUUGGACGGGGGCCGAACCUUCUACGAGGUCCUAGCGCGUAGAAGGCGUACGAAUAGUAGAUGAUCCGCAGAUAUUGGGAGCGGAUCACGGACCCAGGGAUCUGUAGGCAAAAAGGGAAAAAAUAAUAAAGUAGAAGAAAUAAAAUCACAAAUUAUAUAAUAUACUAACUAGCUGACCCGGCAGACUUCGUAGUGCCUCAAUCGAUAAAUAAAAGACCUAAAUUUUUGUAUAAAAUAAACUUAAAACAAACAAAA
Bombyx mori (domestic silkworm) is the source of this 16307-nucleotide long non-coding RNA. RefSeq lists it as uncharacterized. The transcript is spliced from 2 exons. The record is from RefSeq and is a predicted model, not a curated record. NCBI's taxonomy places the organism in Eukaryota, Metazoa, Arthropoda, Insecta, Lepidoptera, Bombycidae.